Molecule: ribosomal RNA, 504 nt
Filed under: uncultured bacterium
Lineage: Bacteria
Description: bacterial SSU rRNA
Rfam family: Bacterial small subunit ribosomal RNA
Source: RNAcentral
UGAGGAAUACAUCGGAAUCUACUUUUUCGUGGGGGAUAACGUAGGGAAACUUACGCUAAUACCGCAUACGACCUACGGGUGAAAGCAGGGGAUCUUCGGACCUUGCGCGAUUGAAUGAGCCGAUGUCGGAUUAGCUAGUUGGCGGGGUAAAGGCCCACCAAGGCGACGAUCCGUAGCUGGUCUGAGAGGAUGAUCAGCCACACUGGAACUGAGACACGGUCCAGACUCCUACGGGAGGCAGCAGUGGGGAAUAUUGGACAAUGGGCGCAAGCCUGAUCCAGCCAUACCGCGUGGGUGAAGAAGGCCUUCGGGUUGUGAAGCCCUUUUGUUGGGAAAGAAAUCCAGCCGGUUAAUACCUGGUUGGGAUGACGGUACCCAAAGAAUAAGCACCGGCUAACUUCGUGCCAGCAGCCGCGGUAAUACGAAGGGUGCAAGCGUUACUCGGAAUUACUGGGCGUAAAGCGUGCGUAGGUGGUUGUUUAAGUCUGUUGUGAAAGCCCUGGG